RNAcentral lists this ribosomal RNA (1542 nucleotides) under Enterobacter asburiae. RNAcentral's name for it is "bacterial SSU rRNA". It matches the Rfam family "Bacterial small subunit ribosomal RNA". Lineage: Bacteria; Pseudomonadati; Pseudomonadota; Gammaproteobacteria; Enterobacterales; Enterobacteriaceae. The record is from RNAcentral.
AAAUUGAAGAGUUUGAUCAUGGCUCAGAUUGAACGCUGGCGGCAGGCCUAACACAUGCAAGUCGAGCGGUAGCACAGGAGAGCUUGCUCUCCGGGUGACGAGCGGCGGACGGGUGAGUAAUGUCUGGGAAACUGCCUGAUGGAGGGGGAUAACUACUGGAAACGGUAGCUAAUACCGCAUAACGUCGCAAGACCAAAGAGGGGGACCUUCGGGCCUCUUGCCAUCAGAUGUGCCCAGAUGGGAUUAGCUAGUAGGUGGGGUAACGGCUCACCUAGGCGACGAUCCCUAGCUGGUCUGAGAGGAUGACCAGCCACACUGGAACUGAGACACGGUCCAGACUCCUACGGGAGGCAGCAGUGGGGAAUAUUGCACAAUGGGCGCAAGCCUGAUGCAGCCAUGCCGCGUGUAUGAAGAAGGCCUUCGGGUUGUAAAGUACUUUCAGCGGGGAGGAAGGUGUUGAGGUUAAUAACCUCAGCAAUUGACGUUACCCGCAGAAGAAGCACCGGCUAACUCCGUGCCAGCAGCCGCGGUAAUACGGAGGGUGCAAGCGUUAAUCGGAAUUACUGGGCGUAAAGCGCACGCAGGCGGUCUGUCAAGUCGGAUGUGAAAUCCCCGGGCUCAACCUGGGAACUGCAUUCGAAACUGGCAGGCUAGAGUCUUGUAGAGGGGGGUAGAAUUCCAGGUGUAGCGGUGAAAUGCGUAGAGAUCUGGAGGAAUACCGGUGGCGAAGGCGGCCCCCUGGACAAAGACUGACGCUCAGGUGCGAAAGCGUGGGGAGCAAACAGGAUUAGAUACCCUGGUAGUCCACGCCGUAAACGAUGUCGACUUGGAGGUUGUUCCCUUGAGGAGUGGCUUCCGGAGCUAACGCGUUAAGUCGACCGCCUGGGGAGUACGGCCGCAAGGUUAAAACUCAAAUGAAUUGACGGGGGCCCGCACAAGCGGUGGAGCAUGUGGUUUAAUUCGAUGCAACGCGAAGAACCUUACCUACUCUUGACAUCCAGAGAACUUAGCAGAGAUGCUUUGGUGCCUUCGGGAACUCUGAGACAGGUGCUGCAUGGCUGUCGUCAGCUCGUGUUGUGAAAUGUUGGGUUAAGUCCCGCAACGAGCGCAACCCUUAUCCUUUGUUGCCAGCGGUCCGGCCGGGAACUCAAAGGAGACUGCCAGUGAUAAACUGGAGGAAGGUGGGGAUGACGUCAAGUCAUCAUGGCCCUUACGAGUAGGGCUACACACGUGCUACAAUGGCGCAUACAAAGAGAAGCGACCUCGCGAGAGCAAGCGGACCUCAUAAAGUGCGUCGUAGUCCGGAUUGGAGUCUGCAACUCGACUCCAUGAAGUCGGAAUCGCUAGUAAUCGUAGAUCAGAAUGCUACGGUGAAUACGUUCCCGGGCCUUGUACACACCGCCCGUCACACCAUGGGAGUGGGUUGCAAAAGAAGUAGGUAGCUUAACCUUCGGGAGGGCGCUUACCACUUUGUGAUUCAUGACUGGGGUGAAGUCGUAACAAGGUAACCGUAGGGGAACCUGCGGUUGGAUCACCUCCUUA